Molecule: ribosomal RNA, 1131 nt
Filed under: Triticum aestivum (bread wheat)
Lineage: Eukaryota; Viridiplantae; Streptophyta; Magnoliopsida; Poales; Poaceae
Description: partial small subunit ribosomal RNA
Source: RNAcentral
AUGGGGCGGCUGCGCGCGUGCCGCCACCAUCUCCGCCGCCUCCUCGAGACGAGGCCGCCACCAACGAUCCCCACUCCGGCGCGCCUGCCGCACCUCCCCGCCCGCGUGUCUCCCUUUUCCUCGGCAGUGGCGGUCGCUGCGACCGCGUCCCAUGACGCCCGCGACUCCGGCCUCGGGAGCUCGGCCUACUGGGCCUGGAUCCGGGCGGCGGCAGAGGCGGCCCCGGCCCCCGCGCCCCCACAGGAGGAGGAGGAGGAAGGCCUGUCGCGCUACAUCCCCGUCAAGGCCUACUUCCUCUCCACCAGCAUUGAUUUGAAGAGCCUUCAGGCGGAGCACGGGAGCGACGUGGUGCCUCCAUCCACCCGGUCGCUAAACUACAUCGCGCUCCGCUACUCUGAAUUCCCUCCAGAGAUCAUGUCCAUUGGAGUGAAGGACAACAGAUUUUGCUAUCGCUAUGUGGUUGUAUUCCAAUAUGGUUCUGCUGUGCUCUUCAAUAUUGCUGAUCAUGAAGCUGAGCACUAUCUUGAUAUGAUCAGGAAUCAUGCUUCGGGAUGGCUUCCGGAGAUGAGGAAAGACGAUUAUGCAGUAGUUGAGAAGCCAUUCCUGACAACAUGGAUGAAAGGAGGUCUUGAUUAUAUAGUUCUUAAAUAUUUAGACACUGAUGGAAUUCGGAUCAUUUCAAGUGUUCUUGGUCAAAGUAUCGCUCUUGAUCAUUACAUACGGCAGGUUGAUGAUAUGGUUGAGGAAUUUACUGAAAUCAAUCGUAUCAUGGAGAAGACUGGGGACUUCACAAUGAAAAGAAAGAAGCUCUUUCAACUUGUGGGCAAGGCUAAUUCUAAUCUCGCAGAUGUUAUCAUUAGACUUGGCCUUUUUGACAGGUCAGAAAUUGCUUGGAAAAAUGCAAAUUAUGCACAAAUUCUGGAGUAUCUUCGGGAAGAAUAUGAACUGAAUCAACGUUUUGGAAGCCUAGACUUCAAACUGAAAUUCGUGGAGCACAAUGUUCAUUUUCUUCAAGAAGUGCUCCAAAAUAGACGAUCGAAUUUUCUGGAGUGGGGUGUCAUAAUUCUGCUGGCUAUUGAGAUUGUGAUCUCACUAUACGAAAUUAUCAAGGAUUCCAGCAUGAUGUCUUGA